AGUGAACGUUGGCGGUAGGCCUAACACAUGCAAGUCGAACGGCAGCACAGUAAGAGCUUGCUCUUACGGGUGGCGAGUGGCGGACGGGUGAGGAAUACAUCGGAAUCUACUUUUUCGUGGGGGAUAACGUAGGGAAACUUACGCUAAUACCGCAUACGACCUACGGGUGAAAGCAGGGGAUCUUCGGACCUUGCGCGAUUGAAUGAGCCGAUGUCGGAUUAGCUAGUUGGCGGGGUAAAGGCCCACCAAGGCGACGAUCCGUAGCUGGUCUGAGAGGAUGAUCUGCCACACUGGAACUGAGACACGGUCCAGACUCCUACGGGAGGCAGCAGUGGGGAAUAUUGGACAAUGGGCGCAAGCCUGAUCCAGCCAUACCGCGUGGGUGAAGAAGGCCUUCGGGUUGUAAAGCCCUUUUGUUGGGAAAGAAAAGCAGCAGGUUAAUACCCCGCUGUUCUGACGGUACCCAAAGAAUAAGCACCGGCUAACUUCGUG
RNAcentral lists this ribosomal RNA (492 nucleotides) under uncultured bacterium. RNAcentral describes it as "partial 16S ribosomal RNA". It matches the Rfam family "Bacterial small subunit ribosomal RNA", at positions 29 to 507 of the family's 1533-position model. The record is from RNAcentral.